Molecule: long non-coding RNA, 12226 nt
Filed under: Brachypodium distachyon (stiff brome)
Lineage: Eukaryota; Viridiplantae; Streptophyta; Magnoliopsida; Poales; Poaceae
Description: long non-coding RNA (BDIS_LNC002928)
Source: RNAcentral
UUAGAUCGAGUGGACGGACAGGUACGGGGUGAGGGUUUUUCUUUCUUUAGCGUGCGAGCGGUGGAUAGGACGUACGGUGACGGCGGCGCCCGUACCAUCACUAUCAACUGCAAUCUAAUACUCCCUCCGUUCCUAAAUACUUGUCGUUGUUUUCGUGCAAACUUGCCUCCGUUCCUAAAUACUUGUCGCUACUCGAAAAGGCUGAUGCUGACAUUUGUUUAGGAAUGGAGGGAGCAGAUAGUAAUAGACUAGAAAAGGCAGUCAUGUGAAUCUCAGGUUAUGUUAGUAGGCUAGAUAUCAUGAUAAUAAAUUAUAAUGCAAUAUUAAAGUUUUGCAUGAUUGUUGCAUCGAUACUCGAAUUAAAGUUUUGAUCAUUUGAGCUGACAUUUGUUUUCUACAUAAUUUUUUACUGAUAUUUCGUAAGGACGUGUUUGGUUCGCUAGCAGACCAUUCGUUCGCACAUGAUGCUAAAUUAAUAGUAAGAGUUAAUCUGAGACCACGUGCAAUGCAAUCCACAAUUUUUAACAGCAAUAUUGGUAUGUAGUGUAAUAGUUCUUCAAAUACUGUUAGCUACUCAUCUUUACAAAACUAUAGAUUGCAACAAAUCGAAAUUAGAGGUCGUGCAUAGAUCAAAUUCAUCUUACUAACAAUAAAUUCGUACGCAGAAUUAUAGUUUUCCAAAUACUAUUAACAACACAUUCUUGAAAAAAAUAUAAGCACACAAUGAAUGGAGCUAGAGUUGCUACUUCUAUUAAUAUUCUCAUGAUUCAAGAAUAAAAAGAAGAGAAACAAAGUAGGAGGGUCAUAACGUAUUGAUUUCCAACGGUGAAUAAAUAUUGUGCUACAACUAAUAUAAUAUAUUUGGUCUAUGUUGAUGUUUGGACGCUGAUACAAGGUGCCCGUGCACUAUUAGGUUUUCCAGGGUGCACACCCAAAAAAGGUAGGUACUGGUCCCCCGUUUCCUAAAGAGGUAAGUUUUGGUUCCUUUACGGCAUGUCGUGCGUCCGCCCACAAUAAAUGCGUCCAACCACGAGUUUUUGCGUUGUCAUGCUCCUAGCUGCCACGACAGGCCCGAGCCAGGUAAAAGUUUCCUUCGGCCAAAAAAGCGAAAAUCAAAGGCUAAAAACAAGCAAAAGUACGAUAGCAUCUUCUCCUCCUGUCACCUCCGAUCCCAUCUCCCUCCUUACCUCCAGGGCUCGUUCCAGCCCUUUUUCCCCUCUCCUCUCCCAUUCUUAUCGCCAUGAAUCUUACUUGAAAAACACCACAAGUUGACCCCCUCCCCCUACAGGUAAAUUUGCUGCAGGUAUUAAAUAACACACUUCUUCCUCCUCCCUAGAAACAAAUUAGGAACAAAUUGUUGCUCAAAACCUGGAAUAUAAGUUGCUUAGACUACCAACUAAAUGUAACUUUUUUUUGACAUAAAAACCUAGAAACUCAUUGGGAAAAGCUUCUAACUAAAACAUGGAAAAUGAAAAGGCAAAAAACAAAAUGCUUGAUAAUGCAGAAAUUGCUUAAAAAUGAAUAUAUAAUACAAUUUCUAGUCAAUUGUUGACAGGUGCAAGUUUUACGCAAAAACAUUGUCUCUAUAAUACAAUUUCUAGUCAACUGGGCAGGUUAGAGAAGCAACUGUAUGCUAAAAGGCAGCAAAGGCGUUAAUAGUGUUGCAACUUCUGAUACAAAAUUUAGCUAGGAGAUGCAACUUUUACUCAAAAUAUUUUUGAGUAGUUCAAAAGAGCAACUAAUUAUGACUCUUCAAAGUGCAAUUUCUGGUCAAUUCCGAAGGUUAGAGAAGCAACUAUAUGCUAAAAAGCAGAAAAGGGUAUAUAUGUGUACCAACUUCUAAUUCACAAAUGUAGCUAGGGGAUGCAACUUUUAAUCAAAAAAAGUUGAGUGGAUACAACUUUUACUCAAUUUCAAAAGUUAGAGAAGCAACUAUAUGCUAAAAAGCAGAAAAGGUAUAUAUGUGUAGCAACUUAUAAUUCAGAAAUGUAGCUAAUGGAUGCAACUUAUACUCAAAAAAAGUUGAGUGGAUACAACUUGUACUAAAAAAAAGUUGAGUGGCUGAAAAAACAACUAAUUACAACAUGCGAAAGGUGGUAAAAGCAAAUUUUAAGCAAAAAUAUGCUCUCUAAUACAAUUUCUAGUCAAUUGGACAUGUCAGAGAAGCAACUAUAUGCUAAACAUCAGAAAAGGGGUAAAAAUUAUUGCAACAUCUAGUUCAAAACUAGCUGAUGCAACAUUUACUAGAAAAUAGUUGCUUACUACAUCAACUUGUGGAAAGCAUCGUGUUAUACCCUAAAUAGUGAUGUAAAUUAACAAAGGCAAAAAUGAAUGCUCGUAAAAUGCAACUUCCCCUUGCUUUACAACAAAAGGCCAGAGCGAAAUCAGACCCUAGAACCCAAAACCAAAUCAAAUAAUCCCAGUGGAGGAUUGGGACAGCUUAAUUAGCAUAAAUUCGUAUUCAAAAGUUGCGCUGCAUCCCCCAUGGCAGAACUAUGGUCAGUCAAUCAAAACCUGAAGCAAUUCCUAAAUCGAAGCAUGCCUAAUCAGUCAAGGAAAAACUGCGAGACACACCCAUGGACAGUAGAUUGCAUCAGAUUUAAAUGCAAAAAAUGUACGACCAGGUAAUUCAAACCUUAUGACGCAGUAAAAUGCAAGAUAAUUAGCCCGUAAUUUAGCUAAAGAAAUGCAUAUUCAUAAGAAACAUAAUGACCACCCAAGCUGCUUGUAAUCAACAUAACUGCUGACCCUCCUAGUUUACAUGCAACAGUCCUAAGAUGAGCAGCAAAAAGAAUGGACAGCUAAAUUCCCCCAAUGACCAAACAGGUUGGGAUCCUUUUAUUUUGAAACAAUGGGUUUUCCCCAUCGAUUUCUAUUAUCGAAACUGCAAACAGAGUCUUUAAACUAAAAACUAAAAACAAGUAAUACAAGGAAAUGAAGCUCCCAACAUGCUGAGAGUACCUCCUACCGAGCAAAACUUGCCUAGCAGAAAACAAGAAAAAUGCAAACAACCAGCAAGCUGAAACAGGUUGGUUCUACUUCUAGAUAGAACUACGGGGUUUGAUUUGAGCUAAAACCUUAGUUUAACACCACUGCUUUUCCAACCAAAAUAAGGACAACACAAGGAGAAGCAAACAUCUCCCCGCAACCCCAUCGAACGGUGGCAAAAUCAGUGUGCGGGGGCAACAUCGACAGCCAAAAACAAGCGCGCGUAGAAAGGGUACAGAAUCGACAACAUCAAGUAAUCCUAGACAUGCAAAUCAACAUGACAUGCGUAGAUACCUGGUUGGGGAGAGGACUAACCAUGGAUAUCUGGUGAAUCAUUGUGCUCAUUCCGCCCGCCAAGCUCGUGCAGCCCCACCAUCGAUGCACCCGCAGCGCUUAGAUCAGCAGUCCCGCGCUGCUCGCUCAACCCACAGCAACGCGCCGUGCGACAUGCAGAAGCCCUCCACACGCCGCCUGCCUGCAACCCCCCUAUCACGCUCGCCGUUGGUUGUUCGAUGCCGCGAUUAAACCUAGAACCCACGUCUUGACAGAAAAAUGCAGUACAAAAUCCCCAGAAGCAGUACCUAAUAUGCACUCCGGUUCUUCUUUUACAUACAUAAAAUCCAUUCGAAUGACAUAACAAAUCUCAUUAAAACCUCCCGGUAAAUCUGCACGAAGAAACCGUUCAACUCUACGGAGGGGAUCAGCUCCUAGAACCCUCAUCCUAGAAAUCUACGAAACAUUGGUCCAAAAAUUGCUUACAUCCGGGCGUUUUGGGGAGGGUGUGAGAAGGAUGAACUAAUCGUCGAAACUCGAGGCAGCAGUAGUGCCGUGCUCGAUGCGCCCGUCGAAUUCAGUUCAGCGUGCUCGAUUCGCCGCACACGCUGGAUGCGAACCACCAUGGUCCGAUUCGACCCACUUCACGCAGCCCGCGGCACCACGCCUGCGACAUGCAGAGGCCCCUGCAUCCCCGUUCCUGGCAACUCACCGGUGCAGCUCGCGCAUCGGCCAAAUCGCCGGUUACUCUGGCACCUCCCAGCCGCCGCCUGUCUCGACCGCAGGGCGACGACCGCCCACCUCUUCCGCAGCAUCUCUCUCCCGUGCGGCUGAAAACACCAGCGCAAAGCAAAUCGCCCCACGAGCGGACUCACAUGCGACCGUCAGGGGAAAACAGAGAAGAAAAUGGGGAAUUGGGGGUGGGGGACGGGCAGGAAGGGGACCACCUUCAGGAUGUGGCACGGCCGCACGGGAAAUGGAGAUGUCUGAAGCAAUCGGACAAUGCGCAUCGUCCAGGAGAAAAUGAGCGGUUCGUAACCCUGUGUGCCGGUGUCCUCGAACAAGUGCACAGUCACUUUUAAGCAAUUGGGUUGAUGUUUUAUAUCUUGACCAUUAUAUAUAGAAUCUAAUAGUUUAAAUAAUCUAGAUAAUCAUCUUGAUCAAUGUCGUCUUUUCUCUCUAAACCACGUAGUGUGUUUUUAUAACAUGAUGGUUUACAUAACCAGGUGACUCGCAUUAGAUUGAUUGAUACAUUUGUAGGUGAUAUUAGUUAAUUAUUUGUAAUUAAAUUUUGGAUCACCUAUCAAUCUCAGGUCUUCAUCUCAUAUAUCACAUCCAUACACAAUAUUAAAGCUCAUCUUCUAUAUCUAAGUAGAAGCAACUCAAUACUUGAUUUCUCUAAACAUAUAAGCAUGCCACAUCAUCACAUAAUUAAUUUGUUCACACCUAUUUAUAUUUAGGGGAAAACUAAUACUUUUGCACAUGCAUGCAUGUUAUUUCCAUCAAGCUAUUCCCACUAGGCGAAGAAUGUACAAUUUUAUUAUAUGUUUUCAUUUUGAAUAGUUUUUAUGUUAACUAAAAAUUUCCGCAACAAUGUGCGGGGUAUCAUCUAGUAUGAGAAAUUGAGGGAUCAAUCGUUUGCACCGAUAUAUCAUGUAUAUGUCAAAUUCACGUAAUUAUUAAGUGUUUGGUUCGCUAGCGAGUCAUUCAUCUGAAUCUCAUAUUUAUUAGUAGCCGUUGUUGAAAUUAGGGUCAUGUGUUGAUAUGUAGAGUUAUAAUUCUUCAAAUAGCUCUUAAUAUAUUAUUCUUGAAAAAAAAUGGAUAUAUAUAUUUUUGACUAAUAGACUUAGAUUAUCAUUUAAUUAGUAUGUUAUGUAUGUCGCCAUAAAAAAAGUUAACUUAAUUACCACUAAUGAUAUGUAACAUCCCAAAAUUUUCAAACUUCGUAUCAUGCCUUUGCAUUCAUAAGCAUCAUGCCACCUAUGCAUUUUAACCACUUUCAAAACCUUGGUUUUAAAAUUUAAAUCCCCUUUUCAAAGCUUUCGUUAUUUGAAUAUUGACUUUCACCUCCCUUUUGCAAAUUGGAAUUCUACCCAAUAGGGUUUUGAACAUAGAAGGGGUUUAUUGCAUUAAUGAGCUACCCAUAAUUUUUGGUAUUUAAAUUGGAGUUGAAAAACUAUUUUAAUUUGUUAUUUAUAAAGCCCUAAAGGCAAUUAUACAAGCAAAACUAUUUUUAAAUAUUUUAUUUUGAUGGAAAUCAAGUCCUAGACGCUAAGGAAUUUGAGGAUGUGAUUUUACAAUUUUUCUAGAAUUUAUUUGGUUUGAUUUGGAGUUCAAAAUCAAAAGUUACAAAGGAAAACAAAAAAGGAAAGGGGAAAAGAAAAAAAAGAACAAAAAAAAGAGAACCAGACCGGCCCGGCCAAAUGGGCCGACCGAACUAGGCCGCAGCCCCGCCAGCCCAGCAGCCGUGCGCCCGAGCGAACCAAGCCGCAGCCCCGCCAGCCCCGCAGCCGUUCGCGCGAUCCAGCCGCUGACAGGCGGGCCCUGCCUGUCAGGGUCGUCUUCCCUGAAGGAAGGCGCCGGCAAUCCCGCACGCUGAAUCUGCGGCCACCGUCUCCGUCGUCUCGUCCGCGCCGUGCCCCCCCCCCCCCCGACUUUCCAAGCGCGUCAUUAUAAAGGCCGGGGCUCCCUCACCAUUUUACCCCUCUCUCCCUUGCUCAUCUCGCGCCCAUGCCACCGAAAUUUCUUGCCGCCGUUUGCUACGGCCGCCGCCGUGUUUCGCUCGCCGCCGACGAACCGAAGGGUAAGCGCCGCCCCCAUCUCGUGCAUCUGCUUCCCCUUUUCCUUUCGCGCAUUUUGACGCGACCAGUUUUGUUUUGGUGCCCCGCAGCCUCGCCCAUGUCGACCGCCUGAAGUUCACUGUCGAGCCGCCGCUCCUCGUCGACCUAGACGUCGCCGUCGUCAUCCCCGAAGAGCGCCGCCGCCGUCAUAUCCUUCACCGAACCGUGACGCACCUAGCCCGCACUUUCCUGAGCCCAGGAACUCACCGGAGUCGCCCGCACCGCCGUUCCCGAAUCGCCGCCGCCAUCACGCCAUCGCUUGAAACCUAAGCCGCCGUCGGAGUUGAGGCAGGCCACCUCCCGUCCGUCCGAUCGCCAUCAACGGCCUAGAUUAGACCUAUUUAUUCGAAAGGGUAUUUUUAGAUCUUAGCCGUCCAUCGCCACUUAAGUAAAAUCCAACGGCCCCCGUUUUAUCCUUAACCAAACCGGUACCAGCGAAUGAGAAACUGCCACGUGUCACCUAAUUUUGUAAAAAACAUUUCCCCGGCCGAAUUAAAUGGUUCUUUUGCAAAAACACCUCUGUAACUUGAAAUGAUCACAUCUUUUAAAAUGUUUGGCCAAAUUUGACAAACCACACCUUUCUGGAAUCCUCUUGAAGAGUACAAUCUUUUGGCACUGUUUAAAUUCAUUUUUGUUUAACUGAAACUAGGCAAAUUUACAGAAUUAUUUUUAAUGCUUUUUAAUUCAUAUCAAUUGCUUUAAAAAUCCUUUUUGCAUGAGACCAACUUUCAAAAUCCUAAUUUUGUGUCCUAUGUCCAGUGGGGCCAGAGAGUUUAACUUUUGAAAAUAAUUUGUUGACUAAUCCCUUAAAAACCUCGUUCUAUGCUUUUUUAUACUCGUUUUGGAACUCGACAAUUAUUUUAUUGUAAUAAAUUAUUUUGCUUAAUCCCUUUUGACUAGAGAAUUAAUCUUGUGAUUCAUGAUAAUCUAAGAACACAUCUUGUUGAAUAAAACCUACCAAGCCAUGUCACAUGUUUGCAUUGCAUCAUGGCAUGGUUUUCCUUGUAUUGGAUUGUGUGUUUAUGUGUGUGUAUGUUUGCUUUAUUUAGUUCUUCCGGAGUGCGAUGUUAGUUCGUGUGGCGAUUGUAACCUAUACUUCGGUGAAGAAGGCAAGUUCACUUUGAUCAUUAACCUAUUAUUUUACUGUGCACUAGAUGUUUUAUUAGCUGCAUUGAUAAGACUAUUAUUGUAUCUAUGCUAGUUAUGAAUUCCUAGUAGUGUAGAUUAUCCUUGCCAGUACCUUUCCACCAAUUGUCAUCGUAAAUAGUUGUAUGCUAUGCUAUGUUAGUAUCGUGGGUGGAAAUCCUACAUUAUGAUAUUAUUGAGGCUAUGGAGAAAAACUAUGUUUUCCUAAUGUAUGGCAAAACAAGUAAUUUAAUGAACCAUCCUGGGUGGGCUGCUUUGAGAUUUUGAGAUGUCAUGCGACGUCAGGUCCAUUUCUAUGGGUCGUCUCUCCGUGGAUUCGGGAGCGCCUGCGUCAGAAAUGUGGAAUGCCACCCGGGGUAUGCAGAGACUAGACUAGUUUCCUGUUUAGUAGCUUCCAGUACAACCACAUGCUAAUAUGGGCUCUGGCUUGACGGAGUAAGUUGUUUGCACCCAGAUCCGAGAGAUUGUGAUGAUGUAGAAUGGGUAGGUGGGAGCGCGGGUCCCUCAGGUGGUUUGGGGGAUUACUUCUAAAAUGUCUUGUAAUCGAUGCCAUUGCUACUCUAUCCUGAGGACAGCAAGGAAUUAACACGUCGAUUUCUUGUGGGUAAAGUAUACAACCUUUCGAGAGUGUCAAACUAAGUACUUAGCUGUGUCCCCGGUUAUAGACAAUUAUGAGCAGCUAGAUUUGGAAGCUGUAAGGAAGGUCUCACUCAUUCUAAUUUCCUAAUAAAAUGAACGGUUUGAACUUGGGAUAGGAGCAUUCAGUGUGUCUACCCGGUGUCCAAUAGAUUAAUAGGAGCAUUGGUGUGUCUACCUAAUGUCCAAUAGUGGAAAAACUAUUUCGUUUAAAAAUGAUAGGAUUAAACAAUGAAGCUUUUAUGCAAAUAGCCCAAACCCCCACCUAGCCAAAUUUUGCAUAUAAUUGACAGGUUUGUUAUAACACUUUAGUGAACUUGCCAAUACAUUCUAUGUAUUGACCCUCUAGUGGUUGCAAUGUCUAAUGUUGCAGGUGAACCAGGUGAAGAGUGAGGAACGUUUUGUUAGGGUUGCGAGUUUACAUUCCAACAUGUUUCGACUGUGGAGUUGUUAUGGGACUCCUGUAUCUUCUGCUUUUCGCUACAAGACUUUAUUUUCUUUUGAGCUAACCCAUGAGGUUAUGCAAGAUGUAGGGUACUAUUAAAUUCUGGAUCAAUGCGAUGUAAUAUACUUUUGACCUUUGUAUCUUGAUAUUACAUUUUGAAACUGUGUGUGUGCUAGUGAGUCGAUCCAGGGACUAGCACUGUAAGCACAGUGAUCAAACCCUAUAUGGGCACGGAUCACUUCAAAUGGUAUCAGAGCAUUGUGUUGCCAGUACGUUCGUGACCCUUAGAUUGGAAUUACCUUAUUAGGUACCUAAUUGCCAUAACAGAUUGUGCCUACUUGAGCUUGAAACCACUUUAAUAUUUAUUUUAGACCAUCAAAUAUACCUCUAAGUUUCACUAAUUCUAAGAAAUUGGGUCUACUUGGGCCUGAAAUCAUUUUGAUGUCUAUUGGUAGCUCAUCAAACAUACCGAUCUCGUUAGAUCUGAGCCGUUAGAUAUAAGAUCCAGUAGUUAAAAUAAUGAAGAUGAUGUGGAUCAACCUGAUGCCUCUUCUCACUACUCCUCAUAUUGCUCCUCAUAUUGCUUUUAAUAUAUAAUAGAUCGAUAGAUUUUCCUACUAACAUGCAGUUAAAAGAUUCUUACUUUCCCUUGGACAUUUUAAUUCAGAUGUAGAGUACCUCCAUACAGGAUGUACCCCGACCAUCAUCCAUAGAGAUCUGAAGACAAGUAACAUUCUGCUCGACAACGAUAUGAGAGCAAAGGUUGUAGAUUUUGGCCUAUCAAAUCCAAUGGUUGAUGGGGCUCCUGCAUCGUCAACUGGAGCUCAUGGGACAAUUGGUUAUUUGGAUCCAUAGUAAGGCUUUUCCCUCCAUCUCCUGAGGUUCAUACAUUCUUCCUUGGGAAAUUGAACUGAGGCACAAUGUUUCUUGUUUUCCUUUUUAUGAGUAGGUACUGUAUGUAUGGGCAGCUAACUGAGAAAAGUGACAUCUAUAGUUUUGGUGUCAUUCUACUUGAGCUUAUCUCAGGUGAAGAUCCAAUCCCCGGUGACAACUCUAGGCUCACUGGUUAUGAUGCCAUAGUCCCAUGGGUAAAUUUUGGACAUGUUUUCUUUAGUUUGUUAUUACCGGGUCUCUGCCUUUGCCCCUGACAAAUAAACUUGAAUUGUACAGGCUACAUCACAUAUGCUGAAAGGGGAAUGGACAUGAUCGUCGAUGGAUCACUAGUAGGGUACAACCCACGAUCGGGACCGUGGAGCCAGAGAUGGAGCAGAGGCAGUGGCACUGAGUUGCAUGGACGGAUUUAGUGGGGGGGGGGGGGCACAUGCCCCCCGGAGGGGCGCAUGGGGGCUUCUGCCCCCCCCCCCUAAUAAUUAUGUUCCAAAGAUAAAUUUAAUGGUAUUUGAGAGUAAAAAUUGUAACAAGGAACUGUCGAAUCGCACUCUGCCAUUGAGUCUUGUUGUGUUACAUAACUUCAACGAUGAUACUGGUAGUGAUGACUCAUGGACCUGUCCCCUUUAUGUGCCUGCAGCUCAUCUGAUCCCAGCUGCUGCUGAUGAUGAAGAUCCACUGCCGCCCAAUGGUGGAAACCCACACCCUACGUCUGCUGCUUUUCAUGAUAUAUGAAAUGAUCAAGAUGAACAUGUUCUACAUCCACCUUUCCCACACAACCCUGAGCCCCUCUUCCACCAACAGCACCACAAUGUCCAUCCUGUACCUGCUAUGUUUGCUGAAGGUGUUGCUCAUCAAGGGGCACAAGCCAAUGCUGCAGAUCAGGCCCCUGCUGACCUAGGAUUGAAGCACGACCUGGGCAUGGUGCCAAUGGUGAAAAGCAGUUACCAACUGAUUUGGCAGCAAAUCAGACGCCCAAUGUUGUGAUUGGAACGCAGCUUACUAACACGCCACCAUCUGCCACGAAUGGCAUGUUACAGGACAAGAGUAAACUACUUUAAGACCCAGUUGAUAUGUUGAAGAAAAUGGUUACUUCAAUGAUCUGUAGUGCUCCUGUUAUCAUUCCACAGCUUCAAGGCACUAGAAUUGUGAGGGACAACUGCAAAAUUGUUGAUGUCUCUGGUGUGGAGGGAACCACUAGGAAGUGCUUUAUUCGGGUGAAAAAUGUGCACUGCAACAAACUUGCUCAAUCUCAGAUGGGGAUCUCUGAAAUCUGAUUGACGAAGACGUGGUGGAGAUUGCUGAACCAGCUGACUUUCCCAAGUCUAGGCGCCGCAAGGCUUCCAAAGCUCCUAUUGAUGUUGCCAAUUGUCGUCGCAGCAAAAGGAUUGCAGAGCUCACUGCUGGCAUCAUCAGCCCUGAUGCACAUGCUAAAGCAUCAUCUUCCUCUACUGCCAGCAAUGCCUAAAACCUAGCACCAAAGUUUGAUGCUAUUGUUGUUGACGCCAAUGCUGCACCACCACCUCACCUGCCACUAGACGCCAUCCAAGCGAUUGGCUCCAAGGUCUGUAAGAUGUCGUACGUCUAUGACGAUAUCCAAGAAGGCUCUCCACUAUGACAGUUCGAAUGAAGAAUGAGUCCAUCAUGAUGGGUUGGUGCAGAAUCUCAAUUUGCUCAGUUAUCAGUCCUUUCAUUUCGUGUGCUAGGAUAGGACACAGUCAUAUUCAUAUUCACAUUUAGCUUUAUAUGUUGCUUUGAUUGGAACUUUAAGUUGUUAUGUGUUUUGCUAUUGUGUUAUGAUUGCUAUUAAAAUCUUUAUCCUAUAUCGUGCUUCUAGUGAUGAACCUUUACCACUUGUUGCCAUGUACUAAAUCUCUAGCUAGUAAUAUAUUUUAUCUAGCAAAGGACAUGAAAUUUCUCAUGUCCUUUGAACAGAACCCACAAUAAUGGUACAUGCAAACCUCGACCAAGACGACAUAGCGACAAAAUUGUUGAUGUCUCAAUCAUAUGUCCUAUUCACAUUUAGCUUUAUGUCCUAUUCACAUUUAGUUGGUGCACACAGUGGAGGAAGGCUGCGGCAGCAACCUAGCCCAUGGAUCGCCGGAGAGAGGAGAGGAACGAGAGCGAGGUGGGUACGGAGGCGGUGGCUGGUCCUCCGAGGUGGGGUUCUCUUUUUAUAUCGAGUGGACGAACAAGUACGGGGUGAGGGUUUUUCUUUCUUUAGCGUGCGGACACAGUGGAUAGGACGUACAACGGCGGGGGCGCCCGUAUCAUCACCAUCAACUGUAAUUUAAUAGAUAGUAAUAUAUUUGAUCAUGAAAUUUCUAGUUUCAGCUUUGAUAUUUUAAAUUGUUUAGGUGUUGAGACACUGUUUUUAUGGGUACAGGCAAAUAUUUUUGAAAUUCUAAACCUUUCAAUUUCAAAACACCAGUCCAUGUUAUGUGAAUUACUUAACAGACUCUUGUUUAUGGAUGUAAAAACAUUUCAAUUUUGUCCUUGUUAAGAUGAAGUUCUGUGAAUUGCUGAAUGAGCUCGCUCUUUUUUGUGAAUGAAACAAUAUUUCUGAAAAUCAAGAUGUUAGGCAAUAGGCCAUAAUAUAAAAUAAACAAAUUAGGUACUUCAUGAACUAAUAUACUUCUUCAGAACACCAAUAGAGCCAGAAGAAUAAUCUAAUAUUUCAGUGUUUUCCUUGGACUCCGUGAAUGUAUUUCUCAGCAGUAUAAAUAGCUCUGUUGAAGAAGUCGAUUAUUUAACUUCUGAGAAUGAAAACUGAUGGUGAUUAAUUCUUUGGACUGAAGGUUGCAGAAGCCUCUUGCCUGAAAUGGCGUCCAUCUUGAUUGAGGCGAAAUACUUGUGGAAGAGGAAGGAGCAAUGAAGCCCUCGGAGCGCCUGGAUUAUUAGUUUUGUUUUUACGCCUGUAAUGUUUCAGAAGUUGGAAUUUGCCUGGCAACAUUGUGUGUAUGAAUUUAGUAAUAUUUAGCGGCCUCCGUAUGUCGGAGCUUUGUCUAGA